This 892-nucleotide ribosomal RNA is filed under the name uncultured bacterium. RNAcentral describes it as "bacterial SSU rRNA". It matches the Rfam family "Bacterial small subunit ribosomal RNA", at positions 8 to 916 of the family's 1533-position model. The record is from RNAcentral.
AGAGUUUGAUCAUGGCUCAGGAUCAACGCUGGCGGCGUGCCUAAUGCAUGCAAGUCGAACGGGGUCACCUUCGGGUGGCUCACGUGGCGGACGGGUGAGGAACACGUGGGCAAUCUGCCGCACGCACGGGGGUAGCCCGCGGAAACGCGGGGUAAUUCCGGAUGUGCUGGUCGCUGGGUAGGGCGAUUCAGGAAAGGUCUUCGGGCCGGCGUGCGAGGAGCCUGCGUCCGAUUAGCUUGUUGGUGGGGUAACGGCCUACCAAGGCGAUGAUCGGUAGCUGGUCUGAGAGGAUGAUCAGCCACACGGGGACUGAGACACGGCCCCGACUCCUACGGGAGGCAGCAGCAAGGAAUUUUCCGCAAUGGGCGAAAGCCUGACGGAGCAACGCCGCGUGCGGGAUGACGCCCUUCGGGGUGUAAACCGCUGUUCGUGGGGACGAAGCACUGACGGUACCCACGGAGGAAGGCCCGGCUAACUACGUGCCAGCAGCCGCGGUAAUACGUAGGGGCCGAGCGUUGUCCGGAGUUACUGGGCGUAAAGCGUGCGCAGGCGGCUUGUCGCGCCCGGCGUGAAAGCCCCCGGCUCAACCGGGGAGGGUCGUCGGGGACGGGCAGGCUUGAGGACAGCAGGGGCUGGUGGAAUUCCCGGUGUAGUGGUGAAAUGCGUAGAGAUCGGGAGGAACACCUGUGGCGAAGGCGGCCAGCUGGGCUGGACCUGACGCUGAGGCACGAAGGCGUGGGGAGCGAACGGGAUUAGAUACCCCGGUAGUCCACGCAGUAAACGAUGCAGACUAGGCGUGGGGGGACUUGACCCCCUCCGUGCCGGAGCUAACGCGUGAAGUCUGCCGCCUGGGGAGUACGGCCGCAAGGCUAAAACUCAAAGGAAUUGACGG